UUUUCAUUCUCAUCGUCUUCAUAAGCUUUUUCUCCAUGUCUGACUCUCUCAAAGUAGCUAAGUUUUUUUUCGUUUCUUUUAUUUUAGUCCCUUCCUCCAUUUUCAACCUAUUUCAAGUUUUAAAGCCCCAUUUUCACCAUGGAUUUUAGUGAAUUUGCACUAAAAAUUUCAUGGCAUUUUUGGUAAAAGGGAAAAAAAGUUGAGGAUAUGAGUAAGUAAGGCUAAUAAAAGUCAUUAGUCAACGGUACUGCCUUUAUCUUUAAGCUCAGCCUUCUUCUUCAUCUCUUAUAUCUCAUACAUAAUCGGAUCCAACUCCAAUACCCAGUUCUUCCCCCGGUGAAGCUUCAACCUUUUCAACAAGGCAGCUAAGUAUCUCUAUCUGCUAUAUAUAAAUGUUUCAUAUCUUUAAUCCUCGAGCCCCUUUACUUUAUUCUUUUUAGAAUUUUGGUGUUUUCAUGGAGAAAUACAUAGGUAAUCAAAUUUUAUAGUUGCUUGCUUCAAACUAAGUUUAAAAAAAAAACUAUAUAUAUAUUUAAUUGUUGAAACCAAGAAUAAAGCAGCUAUGAAAACAUUUCUAACUUCAUUGAAAACUUGAGAGUUACAAUAGAGUAUUUAAUACAAACAGAUAAUAACUAACUAUUAACUAAUUGUGUUUAACUGCUAACUAACUCUUUUAACUAACUUUAUCGAUAAACCUAUUGAUGAAAUACUCAUAACAUGCCCCGUGCUAGUUAACGUUUUCUUCCUUCUAUAACUUCAUGCUUGUAAGGAACAAUUCCAAGUUGACUUCUAUUAGAAAAUAAAGUAAGUCAGUUUCUGUUAGUUAGUUUCUGUUGUGUUUAGUUAGAAGAACAGUUAAGUAACGGUUCUUGGAUUGUAUUAAAUACGUGUUUUCCUGAUUUCUAAACAAUAUACAGAAUUCUUUUCUUCAUUGCUAUUGUGUAAUCCUAGCACGGUAUCAAGAGCCAAGGUUCUCUUUGUGUAUUCAUAAAUUUUUCCUCUCAUGGCCACCAAUGUAGUCCCAGAUGGUGUCCCUGCUGUUGGUACGCUGCGUCACUCCUCCAAUACUAGGGAGGCUGAUCAUUCGCAAGGCACUGGUAUUGUAUGUGCAUCGACAGUUCAAUAUUUCUCUAAACAUGACACCAUAAAACUUGCAUCGCAUAAUUUUCUUCGUUGGAAGCAUCAAAUCUUGUUGAUUCUUGAGGGCUAUGGCCUUGAAGGUUUUGUGUUAGGCACUACUCCAUCCCCUCCUCCUGUUGUUCUUGGUUCAGAGGGCUAUCAAGUUGACAAUCCAGCAUUUCUUGUGCAUCGUAAGUAAGAUAAGUUUCUUGCGUCCUGGCUAUUGUCGACUGUUACAGAUGAGUUGUUAGUUCAUCUCACAAAUUCCAAAACUAGUUUUGAUAUAUGGAAUGUUAUUGAAAGGUGGUUUAGUGCUAAAUCUAACCUCAAGAUCUCCAGCAUGCGACAUGCGUUGUAUUCCAUCAAGAAAUCAACUUUAUCUGUUAAAGACUAUGUGUCAAAGGUCAGACAGUUAAGUGAUGACUUGACUGCUGCUGGUAAUUUCAUCUCGGAGCAAGAACAAGUGAGCGUAAUUUUGACCGGUCUUUCAGUUGAAUUUGAGUCUAUUCGAAUUUUUGCUUCUGCUACUCCUUUGUCCCUUGACCUUUUAACAGAAAUGCUGCUUGACUGUGAAUCCUGACAGUUAGAAUUGGUAACAGAAGGUUCGUGUCAAGCCAAUCUUGCAACUCGACAACAAGGCACGGAGGAUCCUUUGAAACAGUCUAGUGAUUCUUUUCAGCGACCUAAAACGGAUUAUAAAGGAUCGGGUAGAGGUUGGUCUCGUGGUCGGUCGCGUGGAAAUAGAAGGGGCUGGUCUCGUUCCAGGCCGCAGUGUCAGCUAUGCGACAAAGUGGGGCACAUGGUUCAAACAUGUUAUCACAGGUUUGAUGAAAGUUUUUCUGGUGUUGCAGGGUCAAAUUCCGCUCAAGUUAACUGUCAUCAAUUGCAUGGUUCUGAGUGUUCUUCACCUGUUCAUUCUUGCCAAACGGGGGUUCAUUACUGUGGCUCGUAUGGUCAUUUGCCUCCUAUAGCUACAUCUUCCUCACAAUCUGACUUAAUUUGGUACCCUGACUCAGGUGCAACGAAUCACAUUACACCUGAGGUAUCCAAUCUCACAACAGCUUCUCCGUAUACAGGUAACAACCAUGUCACUAUGGGCAAUGGUGAGUCCGUUUCUAUUGCCAGUAUAGGCUCCUCUUCUCUUUUAGCUGGGACUAGACUACUGAAGUAACAGAAUGUUUUGCAUGUUCCUGCAGUGUGCAAGAACUUGAUGUCUGUGGCAUAGUUUGCCAAAGACAAUGGUGUUUAUUUUGAGUUUCACCCAAUUUUGUGUUUUGUGAAUGACAUUUAGACAGGGGUGACGUUGCUCGAGGGCCACAUGCAUGAAGGGUUAUACCGUUUUUAUCUCACCAAGUCAACACCUACUGUUGCCUCGAAGCCCGAUUCCAGUUUGUUGAAUAGUACUGAACUUACUUCGUUUUCCUUAUGGCAUAAUAGACUCGGUCAUCCGUGUAAUACUGUUCUUGCUCAUGUCUUGAAGUCGUGUAAUAUUUCCUUCAAACAAGAUCGUUUACAACAGAUAUGUACAGCUUGUCAGCUUGGGAAAGCUCAUAAACUUCCCUUUCCAGCUUCAAAAACAAUAUAUAUUUCUCCUUUUACACUUGUAGUGUCUGAUGUGUGGGGCUCUGCUAGUGUGUCUUCAAAUGGCUUUCGGUACUAUGUUUCUUUUGUUGAUGCAUAUAGCAAGUAUACUUGGAUUUAUUUUCUUAAAACCAAGUCUGAAGUGGCUCAAAGCUUCCUGAAUUUCCACCGCAUAGUUACUGUUCAGUUUGGCUGCACCAUUAAGAGUCUUCAAACCGAUGAUGGAGGAGAAUAUCGUGGCUUGACUGCUACUUUAUCGAAGCUUGGUGUGCAACACAGGACAACUUGUCCUUAUACCUCGGAGCAGAAUGGUAUCACUGAGAGAAAACAUCGACAAAUCGUUGAUAUGGGACUGUCCCUUUUAGUACAAUCACAUAUGCCAUUAACGUUUUGGUUUUAUGCAUUUGUACAUGCUAUUUAUUUGACUAAUCGGCUGCCUACACCUGUCUUGAAUCAGUCAUGUCCUUAUGAAAUGCUUUACAAAGUUAAGCCUGAGUAUGGCUCACUGCGGGUUUUUGGGUGUGCCUGUUUUCCUGAUCUCAGGCCAUUUCAAAAGCACAAGUUCUAAUUCUGGUCUUAACGCUAUGUGUUCUUAAGUAGUGUUCCUACUACUAAAGGGUAUCGUUGUCUUGCAGAAGAUGGUCGAGUUUUUUUGUCUCGACAUGUUAGGUUUGAUGAGACUAUGUUUCCUUUCAAUGAGGGGUUUCAAAAAGAAUCGUCUUCCAGAUGUGUGCCGAGGUGUUCGUCUCAUUCUGUUCUUCCUUUGCAGCCGAGACUGAUGUGGUUGGUGAUGAUGUAUACUAUAGUAGUGAUCCUGUUGAUUACGAAGUGGAUAGUGAGAGUGAUUCCGACGCAGACGAGGUCCCGGAUGAUAUUGACGAUGAAGGCGUGAAUGAGGAUGGAAACGUUAAUGCGUCUUCAGUCAGAAACCAGAUUCGUCAUAUUGUGAUACACAAUAAUCUUGGGGCACACAUGUCUCGGAUAGACCCCGAUGCAGCACAGGCAGCUGAGUUUCCGGAGUACCCUGAAAUACCACAUGCUUACCGAAUGGGCGUAUAUUCUGAUCCAGAUGAGUUACACGUGGGCCAGAGAUUUGAAAGUAAGGAAGAAUGCAUGUUAGCGAUUAAGCGGUAUAGCAUGAAUAUAUCGGUAGAUUACAAAGUCAUCGAGUCUAAACCAACAUUAUAUAUUGGAGAGUGUUGGAGGUCGGCAGAAGGCUGCAAUUACUGAAAUGGGCCCGUAUUUAUCCGGCAAAUCGCAUCCAUGUCAUCGCGCUUUGCUGACAUGGCAACAAAUCGCUCCCUAGAGGGUUACAAAAUUAGAAGAUAUCAAUCAUAAAAAAAGGUACCCUAAAAUCAAAACACUUGCCUAAAACAAAAGGAAUAAAAAUAGAAUCUUCAACCAUGCAAAAGAACACCCCUCUAAAUCAAUUUAAUCCAAAAUUUAGAAAAAGAAAUCUCAAAACCCCAUUUCGUAUCUGAAUCCAUAAGCAUCAAGAAGCAACAAUGGUACACAUUAACUUUCGCAGUGACACAUGACUUAAAAACAUGAAAUAACUUGUAAAAUAGGUGGGUGCUUGAGUAUUUGUGGACAAACGAGACUAAAAACUCGAAUAUAUAUAUAUAUAUAUAGUUUUUUUAAACUUAAUUUGAAUCAAGCAACUAGAAAACUUGAUUACAUAUGUAUUUUUCUCCAUGAAAACACCCAAAUUCGAAAGAAAAAAAAGAAUAAAGGGCUCAAGGAUUAAAGAUGAAACAUUUACAUAUAGCAGAGAGAGAUACUUAGCUGCAUUGUUGAAAAAGUUGAAGCUUCACCGGGAAAGGAACUGGGUAUUGGAGUUGGAUCUAAUUAUGUAUGAGAUGUAAGAGAUGAAGAAGAAGGGUGAGCUUAAAUAUCAAGCCAGUACAGUUGACUAAAGACUUUAAGCCUAAGAAAGACAAAAAAAUGUAAGACUUACCCUUUCCCUUCUAUAUCAACUUAAAAAUAUACCAACCAAUCAUCUCAGAAAAAGAAAAUAAUAAUAAUAAAACAAAAAAAAUUUAAGACAAGAGAAUAUUAUUCUGUAGCUAAAAUAUAAGCCCAUCACACUGUAACAAAACAAAACCAAAAAACAGGAACACGUAUACAAACGAAACAUCCUGAUUCCUGACGGGUCCAGGAACUCAAAGUCUGGCCAUGAAUCCUAUCAUGGUGUUUCCCUCCACAUUGGGUGGCGUCAGCGCCAAUGUCAAAUCUAACUCAGCACCACAUGGAGUAGUGGGUUGUCGCAGAAGGCCUUGAUGACUACGAGUAAUAAUCUGGGGAUAUGCUUCUACAGCUGCAUGUCCAUGAUCACCAGUGCCAUUGCCAUAGCCUAUUGCAUUUGCACCCCCUGGGGGAUGCCAAAGAAGUGGAUUUCUCUCCCCACUUUAACCCUAUAGUAGGAAGAAUCAUCUUCACCUUGCCCUAUGUAUAAAAUGAAUCUAUCCCCAACAUUUAAGCUGUUAUAAAUAACAAAACUUUUCCAUAGUUUACCUGAGAAUACGGAUUUCUUGUACCCCUUCCUGCGGAUUGUGUAGCGAAUUGGCCAGGGUCUUGUGCCGUGUAAAAACUGAAAUGUGACUGUAUGACCUCCAUUGAAAGGUGGCAAACAACUCUGGAUUGCUGACGGGACUGCUAACCUCUUUUUGAUGUCAGUAACUGUGAGUAUCUUUGAGAAAACAUGUUUGGACUGAGCUGCCAUUGUCGAAACCAUUUUUUUGUGAAAGGGUCGUCGACUUGAAUUUUGGAAAUGAAAACGAAUAUGAGAGUUCCCACCAAUUUUUAUUUAAUGAGGUGUGAUUGGGUCACCUCGAAAAGUGAUUGUUUUUAAUAAACAAUUUGAUUUUAUUAAAACCACGAUUUUGGUCCACGAAAUUCAGAAAAACGAGUUCGGGAGUCGGUUACGUACGAGGAAGGAUUAGCACCCUCGUAAUGCCCGAAAUUCGUACCUAGUUGAUUAAUUAACGUCCCUAAUAUCGAAAAUUGAAAACUUUAAAGAUAUUUAAAAUACGAUCCUUUGUUGAAAUGCUAAAAAUUUUCAAGAAAAGAGCAUAUUUCAUGUUAAUCGAGAAAGAGAAUUAUAUCUCGUAAGUCAGGACACAAUGUCUUGAAUUCCCGAUACGUGAAUAAAUGCCAAAAAUUUACUUAUUUGAAAUAUAUUCGACUAUCUCGAGUUUAGAAAAAGAAAUCAUGUCUCGUGUUAGGAUCGUCCAGAUUAAGCAACGAACAAGUAAAAAUAGUAGAAGAAAUUGAGAAGAUAAACACACAAAUUUAAUGUGGAAAAACCCUUCCAAAAAGGAUAAAAAACCAUGGGCAGAUAUAAUUUUACUAUAAUGGCAAAAGAAUGAAGAGUACAAAAUAUGAAGAUAAAAACUAAACCCUGAAAACCGAAAAACAAAGAACCCUCAAAACGUAAACACAAAAUUCUCUGAAUGUGUUAUGAGUUCUAAUCUAAUUGGUGUCUUUAUCUAAGAUUGUAAAAGAGCCUAUUCAUAGGCUAAAUUAGUAAGUCAAAUAAACUAUGCUAAUAAAUGCUAAAUAUAUUAUACUAAUAAAUACUAAAUCUUCUAGAAAGAAAAUAUAUUUUUGUUUAACUUGACUCACAAGCAAUCUCUUAAAAUUUGGGUCACACAACUCUAACAUCCCGUAAGUUAGAACACGAUCUUUUAUUAAUUCACGAGAUCGUUUAAAAAAACUUAUGUUUGAAAAGAUUCAUUUACUUUGGUUUAUCGAGAAAAUAAAACCCCAUAAGUUAGGGUACGACUUUUCAAAUCUUUAAACACUAAGUUUAAUUUUUCUUUCUUUGAAAGCAAAAUUUUUAAUGUCGGGUAAAAUGUACCACAACUUUGUGAUAAAAUGUGAAACGAAUUUUAAUGUCGAUAUGUAUAGCGAAUAAUAAUAAAUGAAUAGCAAUAUGAAGAAUAAAAUACAAGAAACAGGCGAAAAUAAUAAACAAAACAAAUAAUAAGGACAAUAAAUAUAUAUAUAACAAAAACAAUUUAAAACUUAAUAUUAUAAAAUAAACUUUAUAUGAAACAAUCUAAGAAUAAUAAUGAUAAUAUGACUAACAACUAUAAUGAUGAUUGUUGAAAUAUAUAUAUAUAUAUAUUGAAAAUGAUAAAAUGAUAUAGCAAGAAUAAAUAAUAAACAAUAAAAUGUGAAAACAAAGGCAAAAUAAUGAGAAUAUUAAGUAAACCAAAUUAAUAAGUCACAUUUUAUUAUUUUUUAAAAAAUUAAAUAAAAUGUAAAAGAAUAACAAACAAUUUUUAAAAAAAAUAAAAACUAAAAGAUAACCUAGGACCGAAUUGUAACUGGAAUAAGAUCAAAGAGGAAAUUUGAAAAGAAAGAAAAAAUCAGGGCCUGAACGAAACGCGAGCAAAGAUGCAGGGGCCAAAUAGGAAAUAUUCCCACGUCAAUCAAACGGCGUCGUUCUAGGCAGGCACCUGCGCACGGUCUAUGGACCAAAUUGAAUAGGGAGCAAAAAUUUGUGCCCAAAAUCGAAAUAAAAAAACCGCAUUGAAUAUGAUGCAAAGGUGGAGGAACUGAUUGCGAACAUAUCCCCCUAAACGAAAACACGCGGAUCCCCUUACCUGGUCGGGUCAAUUUUCGGGUUUGAUGUAAACGGCGUCGUUUUAGCCAUUAAUGCACAAGCCCAAAACGGCGCUGUAUUAUGCCCUGUAUAAAUAGCAAAAUAAUAAAAUUCCCACUUCAUUUUUAAGAAAAAAAUCAGAGAACUCUCUCAGUUCUCUCAAUCCUUUCCCCUUCCGGCCACGACUCCGGCCAUCGACCAGCGGCUGGCGUGGCGCCGCCGUAUACGGCGGUCGGGUAGCUGAAAAGCUUCCCUUUUUUCUCCGAUGCACUCCCUCGAUCCCGAAAAUGCUCUGGCGCCGCCAAUGAAGAUGUCAGAGGAGCUGGUGGAGCAGGUGGCGGCAGAGGCUAGGGCAGGAGCGGCGGCACAUGAGGUGUUAAGGUUGAUGAUCCAAUGCAAGACGCCAAGGGAGAUGAUUGAUAAUCCAAUUGUACGUGCAAGCACCUAAGGGAGCAGGAAUCAUCUACCUAAUCAUUUCAUUUUUGGGUUUGGCGAUGAAGGUUGAAUUUUACUGCACAAACUAUUAAUUAAAUGAUAAGCACUUAGUAAUGACGACGACGAGAGUCAACAUAUUUCGAAAUAUUUAUUUUGAAUAUAGAUUUAAUGGAUUAAAUUAUAUUAAUUUGGUUUAAAAAUAA
This is a long non-coding RNA of Gossypium raimondii (Peruvian cotton), 7947 nucleotides long. RefSeq lists it as uncharacterized. The record is from RefSeq and is a predicted model, not a curated record. The transcript has 4 exons. Lineage: Eukaryota; Viridiplantae; Streptophyta; Magnoliopsida; Malvales; Malvaceae.